UUCUGAUCUGUGCUGGUUGUGAUGUUUAUGAAUUCCAACAUGGUCUCCGUUAACGUAGCUCAGAUCAAUUAUUCAUAAUAAAUCAGUUUUUGUCUACUUUAUUUUGACAACUAGAACUAAAAUCUCACCCUGAGCAGAAAGUUUCAGGAAGAUGUCAGAAAUGCCCAGAUUUUUCGGUUUAAACUUCUCCUAAAAUGUCAGCUGUGGUAGGAGUAGCUUGUGACGUCAUGGCUCGGUCCUGUCCAAUCAGAACGCAGAUUUAGUCCGUUCAGCGCCGAACUCAAACCGUUGAAGCCCUGUGCUGCUUCGCUCCGACCGUUGGUUCUGCCGGUUCAGCAGAUGAUCAGGCCAGCUUGUUUGGCUGAACCUGAUCUGAGAGGCAGAGAUGAGCAGCUGGAGCCACAGAACCAGUUCCAAGAGUCGGUCCAGACGGGUCAAAAGGUUCUCCAAAGUGUCUCUACAGAAGCCUGGAUGGACCAAAGAGGAGGCAAGAAUGAUGAUGAUGAUGAUGAUGGUGAUGACAGUGAUGAUGAUGAUGAUGAUGAUGAUGGUGAU
Poecilia reticulata (guppy) is the source of this 555-nucleotide non-coding RNA. Lineage: Eukaryota; Metazoa; Chordata; Actinopteri; Cyprinodontiformes; Poeciliidae. The record is from RefSeq and is a predicted model, not a curated record.